This 1261-nucleotide small RNA is filed under the name Rattus norvegicus (Norway rat). RNAcentral's name for it is "uncharacterized LOC102556196". Lineage: Eukaryota; Metazoa; Chordata; Mammalia; Rodentia; Muridae. The record is from RNAcentral.
UAGAGCCUUUGCAAGGUUCUAGAUGGCAUAGAGGAAUGGUAGAACCUUUACAGGGUUCUAGGAGCUAUAAAUGAAAGGUAGAGGCCUUACAGGGUCCUGGGUUAUGAAGUGAUGGCAGAACCAUUAUAGGUUUUAGGAUUCUAAGCAUUAUAAUGAGAUUCUAGAAUCUUUACAGGUUUCCAGGUGCUGUAGAGGGAUGGUAUAACCUUUACAAAGUAUGACUUAGUGAACAGAGGUUAGAUGAAUAAGUUAGGAAGUCAGGAAAAAUGGGAUGAUCCCUGGAAGGGAAUACUUGGAUUCUGUCCCUCUCUUUUUUUCUUUAAUCCCAGCCACUAAAAGAAAAGAACUGGCUUCCAAGAAAUAACAACAAACCAUAACAAAACAAAUAAAAUAAAGUAAAAUGAAAACUAUCACAUCAAAUUUGGACAAGACAAACCAUCAGAUGGAAAAGAGCCAAAGAGAAGACGCAAGAAUCAGAGACCCACUCAUUCACAGACUCAGGAAUGCCAUAAAAACACUAAACCAUAAUGUAAAAAAAUGGAGGACUUUCUGAAGAACUGUGCAUACUGCUUCAGUCUCUGUUUGCCUGAGCUUGGAGUAUGAGAUAGAGACAUCAUAUUUAGAGCUGUUUGUUCCAAGGAUAUGAGUAAUGGAUUAAAACAACACAAGACAAAAAAAAACAAAAAAAAAACAACCAAACAACAACAACAACAACAACACCCAACAACUUUGAAAUCUGAAGCCCGAAAGGAAAACUGCAAUGCUACUUGGGUCCACUAGGGAAGAAAGUGAAGGAGCUAGCAAGUAAUACACUUUAUAUUCCCAGGAAGAACUGAUACCUCCAGAAACAAGAUGGAAGGUCAUUUGAAUCGAGGAGAGACUGAGAUUGAGGUUAUGAUUAUGGAUAGAUGGAAGUGUGUGCAGAAGACACAGUCUAUAAGAAUGAGAACAAGUGGUUAAACACACGACUUAUUACUGUGUGUGCAGAGUCAUAAGGGCUGGUGUCUGACCACUGGCAUCCCUGGGAAGACUCUUCCUCACCUUUGUAUCUGUCUGAGAAAGCUUCUUGUGCAUGAGUUUGGGGCUGGGAAAGCUAACGUCAUUGACGUCAUGGGAAUCUGGUGAAGAUAAAAAAGACUCGUCAUGGGAAACACACUGCACAGAGGAGCGUCACUGCCAUCAUGACAUUAACAGAUUGGAGGUCAAGUGUGUGUGUCAUGGACUACAAAGAUCUUCCUCUUCGAUUGACAUUACAAGAGAA